AUAUAUCAACUUCUUCAAGUUUUGCUUGUUGAGUGUUGGAUUGUGGGGGUUUCUUUUGCUGGUCUCUUUCUGAGGUCGGCUCCCCUGAAAUGCAUUAGCGGAACAAUUUGUUGACCGUUCAUUGGUGUGAUAACUAUCUACGCUAUUGACGUGAAGCAGGUUCAGCUUCUAAUAGGUCCAUUGACUUGGACAACUUUUCAUUA
This 203-nucleotide unclassified non-coding RNA is filed under the name uncultured Dermocybe. RNAcentral's name for it is "sequence contains ITS2". The record is from RNAcentral. Lineage: Eukaryota; Fungi; Basidiomycota; Agaricomycetes; Agaricales; Cortinariaceae.